GCUUUUAAUGGAAAACAGUUCUUCCACUGGUCUUAGGCGCCAAUACUCUUGGUGCAAAUCCAAGUAAAAGCU
RNAcentral lists this transfer RNA (72 nucleotides) under Mantidactylus bellyi. RNAcentral describes it as "tRNA-Leu". It matches the Rfam family "tRNA". Rfam says of the family: Transfer RNA (tRNA) molecules are approximately 80 nucleotides in length. Their secondary structure includes four short double-helical elements and three loops (D, anti-codon, and T loops). The record is from RNAcentral. Lineage: Eukaryota; Metazoa; Chordata; Amphibia; Anura; Mantellidae.